UGAUGAGGUUUACCUUGGGCUUCUGCAGUAUUGGCUCUCUCCACCACUGAAGUGUUUAACGUCCUGCUACACACCACACAGUUCAAUAAGGUGACACUAGUAGCAGACAGGUAACUUCACUCUGAGCAGCUCCAGGCACUGACGCACACAAACAUUUCACGGGAGUGCGCAACAGGAUGCACGGUAGCGCGCUAGUGUUUGCGAUCUUCUGAGCAAAGCUGCUGCCUUGCCUCCUCAUUGCCGUCCAUUCAUUCCUCCUGCCUCAAAAAGACAAGCUGCUCCGACCCCCAAAAUGAUGUCGACCUCAAGUCAAGAUAUCUCCAAACCUCAACAGAUCAGCGCACACUUUGGUGGACAGAUGGGCUUUAUGCCAAGAAGAGCAGGAUUUUACAAUGGCAGAGUUUUGGAUUCAGGAUUUCCUUAUACAAACCUGUUGGCUGUAAAAAAACAGUCCUCCUCCACUUUGCUGUGGCCUCACACUUAAUGUAUUCCAGCUUUGCUGAUUUCCUGAUUCCAAAGGACAUUGCAUCUCAUUUCUUGUCACUUGUCUCCCAAAUUCCUAAAGGUACAAUUAGCAUUUUGUUUGACGACAUGUUGAAAGGUUCAUAGAUUGAUAUUUGCAAAAAUGUAGCAGGGUGUUUUUUUCCAAAUGCAAAUUCUGACAUUUAUUAACUUUUAUUACGGAUACUCUGUUUAUGGAUUGUAAAACUCUGCAUAGAUUUAAUGGGAAUAAAGUAAAAUUACAAUGUUUAAACACAAUCAGUGUGGCAAACCAGCAAGUGUGUAAUUUAGUGUUGUGUGGCAAUGAAAUGUUUUACGGGCGUUGAUUUAUGUCCUGUGCAUGGCAUUUCUAAUGAGAGAGACCAACAUUGCAGUGCGCCAGUGUUCCAGGAAACUACAUUUACAGCAGAUCUUUUUUCUCAAGAGUGUUUUUCCCCUGUGAAAUAAUGUCAGCACUUUCCCACCUUCAAAGUCCUUCUGUUUUCAGAUCUAUUAACAAUUCUAAUUGUACAGGAACACUUGUUAAGUAAGGCUGGUAAAUAAAGCAGGAAACACAUUAUUUCCUUUUAGUGCAGAUUAAAGGUACAGCUAUGCUGGCUUGAAACACAUUAAUGAGGUUUUAAAUAAAAAUGCUGGCAGGGAAUUUACACCGCUGACUGGUUUAACUGCAGUAAGCAGUUGAUUUUCCUUGAUGUUAAAAGGGGAACAUUAUUUCACCCGCUAAUGAAAAAUACAUCUUUCCACCCUCCUAUCUGUUAAUUAACAUGUUUGUGUUAAGGGAUUUUCAAAAAGGGAUACAAUCGCUUUCAAUCUGAUUAAAGUAAGUGAUACAUAAUAGGAAGGUUGUUUUCCUUGGGUCCUUCUG
This is a long non-coding RNA of Eleginops maclovinus (Patagonian blennie), 1366 nucleotides long. RefSeq lists it as uncharacterized. The record is from RefSeq and is a predicted model, not a curated record. Lineage: Eukaryota; Metazoa; Chordata; Actinopteri; Perciformes; Eleginopidae. The transcript is spliced from 4 exons.